UUCUACGAGCUUAACACAUGCAUCUCNAACGGUGAAGUCGGAGCUUGCUCCGGCGGAUCAGUGGCGAACGGGUGAGUAACACGUGAGUAACCUGCCUCCGACUCUGGGAUAACUGCUANAAAUGGUAGCUAAUACCGGAUAUGACGACUGGCCGCAUGGUCUGGUCGUGGAAAGAAUUUCGGUUGGGGAUGGACUCGCGGCCUAUCAGGUUGUUGGUGAGGUAAUGGCUCACCAAGCCUACGACGGGUAGCCGGCCUGAGAGGGUGACCGGCCACACUGGGACUGAGACACGGCCCAGACUCCUACGGGAGGCAGCAGUGGGGAAUAUUGCACAAUGGGCGAAAGCCUGAUGCAGCAACGCCGCGUGAGGGAUGACGGCCUUCGGGUUGUAAACCUCUUUUCUAGGGAAGAAGCGAAAGUGACGGUACCUGCAGAAAAANCACCGGCUAACUACGUGCCAGCAGCCCCCGGUAUACGUAGGGGUGCAANCGUCGUCCCGGNAAUUUAUUUGGGCGUUAAAGAA
RNAcentral lists this ribosomal RNA (523 nucleotides) under actinobacterium Muzt-F32. Its description in RNAcentral is "bacterial SSU rRNA". It matches the Rfam family "Bacterial small subunit ribosomal RNA", at positions 38 to 546 of the family's 1533-position model. Lineage: Bacteria; Bacillati; Actinomycetota; Actinomycetes. The record is from RNAcentral.